Molecule: transfer RNA, 73 nt
Filed under: Lachnospiraceae bacterium
Lineage: Bacteria; Bacillati; Bacillota; Clostridia; Lachnospirales; Lachnospiraceae
Description: tRNA-Ala
Rfam family: tRNA
About the family: Transfer RNA (tRNA) molecules are approximately 80 nucleotides in length. Their secondary structure includes four short double-helical elements and three loops (D, anti-codon, and T loops).
Source: RNAcentral
GGGCCCGUGGCUUAGUUGGGAGAGCGCCGCGUUCGCAAUGCGGAGGUCGAGAGUUCGAAUCUCUUCGGGUCCA